RNAcentral lists this ribosomal RNA (501 nucleotides) under uncultured bacterium. Its description in RNAcentral is "partial 16S ribosomal RNA". It matches the Rfam family "Bacterial small subunit ribosomal RNA", at positions 30 to 523 of the family's 1533-position model. The record is from RNAcentral.
AUUGAACGCUGGCGGCAGGCUUAACACAUGCAAGUCGAGCGGAGCGAGGGUGCUUGCACCUUAGCUUAGCGGCGGACGGGUGAGUAAUGCUUAGGAAUCUGCCUAUUAGUGGGGGACAACAUUCCGAAAGGAAUGCUAAUACCGCAUACGCCCUACGGGUGAAAGCGGGGGAUCUUCGGACCUUGCGCUAAUAGAUGAGCCUAAGUCGGAUUAGCUAGUUGGUGGGGUAAAGGCCUACCAAGGCGACGAUCUGUAGCGGGUCUGAGAGGAUGAUCCGCCACACUGGGACUGAGAAACGGCCCAGACUCCUACGGGAGGCAGCAGUGGGGAAUAUUGGACAAUGGGCGGAAGCCUGAUCCAGCCAUGCCGCGUGUGUGAAGAGGCCCUUUUGGUUGUAAAGCACUUUAAGCGAGGAGGAGGCUACUUAGAUUAAUACUCUGGGAUAGUGGACGUUACUCGCAGAAUAAGCACCGGCUAACUCUGUGCCAGCAGCCGCCGUAA